RNAcentral lists this ribosomal RNA (274 nucleotides) under uncultured bacterium. RNAcentral describes it as "partial 16S ribosomal RNA". It matches the Rfam family "Bacterial small subunit ribosomal RNA", at positions 523 to 796 of the family's 1533-position model. The record is from RNAcentral.
CUACGGAGGGUGCAAGCGUUGUUCGGAAUCACUGGGCGUAAAGGGCGCGCAGGCGGUUUGGUAAGUCAGAUGUGAAAGCCCACGGCUCAACCGUGGAAGUGCAUUUGAAACUGUCAGACUUGAGUACUAGAGGGGAAAGUGGAAUUCCCGGUGUAGAGGUGAAAUUCGUAGAUAUCGGGAGGAAUACCGGUGGCGAAGGCGACUUUCUGGCUAGAUACUGACGCUGAGGCGCGAAAGCGUGGGUAGCAAACGGGAUUAGAUACCCUAGUAGUCC